Neolamprologus brichardi is the source of this 2525-nucleotide RNA transcript. It is a transcript of the gene named reticulocalbin 3, EF-hand calcium binding domain, with no coding region annotated. The record is from RefSeq and is a predicted model, not a curated record. NCBI's taxonomy places the organism in Eukaryota, Metazoa, Chordata, Actinopteri, Cichliformes, Cichlidae.
GUAGCGUUUGCCAACGCGGACUGUUUCUGGAGUGACCCUACCUGUAUAUUGUAAAAAGUGGCGCAACAAAGCUGUCAGUUAUGAUGCUGCUGAAUUCAUUAGCAUCGCUCUACUUCCUGGCCACUGUUGCCUUUGCUGUGCCUGCUCAGGAGAAGCGCAUCCAUCACCAGCCUGAUCUGAGUGACCACGCCCAUGAUGAUGCUCACAGUUUCCAGUAUGACCAUGAGGCCUUCCUGGGUAAAGAAGAGGCCAAGACCUUUGACCAGCUGACUCCUGAGGAGAGCAAAGAUAGAUUAGCGAAGAUAGUGGACCGUAUUGACACUGACAAGGAUGGCUACAUCAGCCACGGAGAGCUGCAUUAUUGGAUCAAACACAGACAGAGGAGGUACAUCGAGGAAAAUGUUAACAAACACUGGAAGGACUACGACAAGAACCAAGAUGACAAGAUAAGCUGGGAGGAGUAUAAAAACACCACCUAUGGCUACUAUCUGGGAGAGGAUUUUGAUGAUAUUGAUGACAAGGAGACUUAUAAGUCCAUGCUCAAAAGAGAUGAAAGGCGCUUUAAGACGGCUGACCGAGACAGUGAUGGCAUUGCCACACGUGAGGAGUUCACUGCCUUCCUUCACCCUGAGGAGUUUGAUUACAUGAAAGAUUUGGUAAUUCAGGAAACUGUGGAGGACAUUGAUAAGAAUGGGGACGGGAAGAUCAACUUAGAAGAAUACAUCGGUGAUAUGUACACAGCCGAGGAUGGGGAAAGUGAGCCUGACUGGGUCCAGACAGAGAAGAAACAUUUCUCGGAGAUCAGGGAUACCAAUAAGGAUGGGUACCUGGAUGCUGACGAAGUAGGACAGUGGGUUUUGCCUGGAGAGGUUGACCAUGCUGACAAUGAAGCCAAACAUUUGAUCCACGAGACAGACACUGACAAGGAUGAGAGAAUAACCAAGAAGGAGAUUCUAGCCAACUGGAACAUGUUUGUGGGCAGUCAGGCUACCAAUUAUGGUGAAGACUUAACGAAGAAGCACGAUGAACUUUGAUGAAAAUGUAGUUAUGGGGAUAUCAGAAUAGGCGUGGGACUUGGGUCUGGAUUAUGCUGUUUUAGUUGUAUAAUCAAUAAUGUUCUUAUAACAAGCAGCAUGAAAGCAUGUCAAAAUUUGCUAUCAAAUGUUUGUCUGAGUGUGUGGAUGGGAGGGUGUGGGAGAGAUUAAAGUCUUCUUUUUCUACAAUUGUACUUAUUAUUCUUUAGUCACAUUAUGAUUUAAAUUAUUACAAAUAUAAUUGUCAGUGUUGUUCUCGAAUUGUGUAAGAGAUGUUGCUGGUUUCUGCCUUUUUUGUGAUUAAGUUUAAAGUUGCAGUGUGUAAAGGUAGAAUGUUCGCCCCAUGUUUGGGGGUUGGGGGUUCAAAUCCACCGAAUGGCUACCCUGAAGUACCCCUGAGCAAGGUACCGUCCCUACACACUGCUCCCCGGGGGUUGGAAUUUUGUGAAUUUUAAAAAGAUCUUUGAGAUUCCAUAAUGUCGCUACCAAUUCUACACAGCAGUGAAAAGAAAUAACGUGCAGGAUAUGCUUUGCUAAAACUAAAAUGUAUUAUUUGGGAACAGAUGAGGUGAUGCUUGUUUUGUAUUAGUUUUUAAUGUGUGUUGAUUUGCAACAUGAAUUCGCAUCCUUUGCCUUAAUACUGAAAAAAAAACAAAACAAAACACAGGAACAGAGCGCUGCACAGUGAAGUUUCAAACUGAGCCUCCACGGAUAUCUGGAAAUGGAUGGCCGUCUGAGUCUACCUGAGAUACUUGACAAGAUGGACUUCAUCAAGACCAGUACAAUGACCGACUAUGGAGGGAUGAGGGUGGAUGACCGUGAUGAACUGUGACUUCAGUUUGGUCCCAUAUACAAAUGUUUUACACAAAAAUCUAUGACUUGUGAAUAUUUUCUUAUCUGAAUUGAUUCAUCCUAUACAAAAUUAAAACACACAAGGCCACACUUAUAUCUUACAAAACUGACUCAUCUUUAAACUGAGGUACACAUGUUUAUUAGUAAUACAUUUUUAUUCAUAAUUCAAUUCUUUAAAUUUUGUAUACAUUUUCUGAGCUACAGUGAGUGUUACAAGAAACUACUGAUUGAGUUUCAUCUACUUUUUAGCAGCAGCAGGGCAUACUUCUCUCUUACUGCUUUCUCCACUUCACCCGAGGAAAGCGUGGGAAGUGGGGGUGUGGUACUGUGGUACUAUGGAGACUGCAGGUUUGGACACAGCCCAGUUGACUGAUUCACUAACAUACAUACAGUUACAAAAAUGUCAAGAAAGCAUGUUUCAAAGUAAGAACAUUACUGUGCAUAUCUAAGUGAAUGAGGCCCGAUGUGAAGAUCUCCAUCAUGAACAGUGAAGCAGCUCAAAUUUAAGCAACAACAGAUCUGCUUAGAACAGGACUUCAUGCAUGUUUAGAGCACCCACUCAAGUUUGUCAGACAAUGCAUUGGAUUGUAAAUUUCAUCUAUGAUAUGAACACAAUAAAAACAUUGAGACAUUGCUUUA